This 464-nucleotide long non-coding RNA is filed under the name Mytilus galloprovincialis (Mediterranean mussel). Lineage: Eukaryota; Metazoa; Mollusca; Bivalvia; Mytilida; Mytilidae. The record is from RNAcentral.
UUUCUAUUUCCAUUCUACUUUCUUUAAAUGUCGUCAGAUUUUCAGUUUGAUGCUGGCGAAUUUUCUGUAGAUUUUCUGCUACUUCAACCAAUGUUUCCUCUAUUUCGCACAUGACAUUAGAGGUUUUGAUAUUGUGAAUGGCGUCAUCUAAUUCAACACAAUCUCGGCAUUCUUUAUGGCUGUCGACGAUGCAUUUGCUGCAGCAGGGGCAUGCAUGCUUCUUGCAAUACAUUUGAUACUUUUUGUCAUGUUUAGUACAGUACUGAGUAAUUUUAAGUAUAUCAGCUGGUAAUUUCUGGUAUUCAGUAAAAGGUAUGACGUAAUGGCUUCUCGAUGACUUCGACAAGCUAUAAUGUUCCUUGCAUUCUGUACAUAGUCCCUCGUCACAUUCUGUGCACCAGACUAUGGAUGGUUUGGUAAGGUGGCGGAGGUCACAUACACCACAGCUCUGAGAUGAUGUCGCC